AGUGAACGCUGGCGGUAGGCCUAACACAUGCAAGUCGAACGGCAGCACAGUAAGAGCUUGCUCUUACGGGUGGCGAGUGGCGGACGGGUGAGGAAUACAUCGGAAUCUACUUUUUCGUGGGGGAUAACGUAGGGAAACUUACGCUAAUACCGCAUACGACCUACGGGUGAAAGCAGGGGAUCUUCGGACCUUGCGCGAUUGAUUGAGCCGAUGUCGGAUUAGCUAGUUGGCGGGGUAAAGGCCCACCAAGGCGACGAUCCGUAGCUGAUCUGAGAGGAUGAUCAGCCACACUGGAACUGAGACACGGUCCAGACUCCUACGGGAGGCAGCAGUGGGGAAUAUUGGACAAUGGGCGAAAGCCUGAUCCAGCCAUACCGCGUGGGCGAAGAAGGCCUUCGGGUUGUAAAGCCCUUUUGUUGGGAAAGAAAAGCAGCAGAUUAAUACCCGGCUGUUCUGACGGUACCCAAAGAAUAAGCACCGGCUAACUUCGUG
Molecule: ribosomal RNA, 492 nt
Filed under: uncultured bacterium
Lineage: Bacteria
Description: partial 16S ribosomal RNA
Rfam family: Bacterial small subunit ribosomal RNA
Source: RNAcentral